RNAcentral lists this RNase P RNA (403 nucleotides) under Acidobacteriota bacterium. Its description in RNAcentral is "Acidobacteria bacterium RNase P RNA component class A". It matches the Rfam family "Bacterial RNase P class A". Rfam says of the family: Ribonuclease P (RNase P) is a ubiquitous endoribonuclease, found in archaea, bacteria and eukarya as well as chloroplasts and mitochondria. Lineage: Bacteria; Pseudomonadati; Acidobacteriota. The record is from RNAcentral.
GCAGCCGGCCGGACGACCGCCGCGCGCACGCGCCCCGGCGCGGGCGCGGGGAGGAAAGUCCGAACUCCAGAGGGCAGUGCGCCGGGUAACGCCCGGUCAGGGUGACCUGAAGGAAAGUGGCACAGAAAACAUACCGCCGGCCGCGCCCGCAAGGGCGGGGCAGGUAAGGGUGAAAAGGUGCGGUAAGAGCGCACCGCGCCUGCUGCAAGGCGGGUGGCAGGCUAAACCCCGCACGGAGCAAGACCAAAUAGGGGAGCGCUUGAGGGUGGUCCGCCCGAAGCUUCCGGGUAGGUCGCUUGAUCCCGCCGGAGACGGCGGGGCUAGAGGAAUGGUCGUCACCGGCGCGUUCGCGGGCAACCGCGGCGCGCCGGUACAGAAUUCGGCUUAUGGCCGCGCUGCGGCG